This 497-nucleotide ribosomal RNA is filed under the name uncultured bacterium. RNAcentral describes it as "partial 16S ribosomal RNA". It matches the Rfam family "Bacterial small subunit ribosomal RNA", at positions 28 to 507 of the family's 1533-position model. The record is from RNAcentral.
GAUGAACGCUGGCGGCGUGCCUAAUACAUGCAAGUCGAGCGAACAGAUAAGGAGCUUGCUCCUUUGACGUUAGCGGCGGACGGGUGAGUAACACGUGGGUAACCUACCUAUAAGACUGGAAUAACUCCGGGAAACCGGGGCUAAUGCCGGAUAAUAUUUAGAACCGCAUGGUUCUAAAGUGAAAGAUGGUUUUGCUCUCACUUAUAGAUGGACCCGCGCCGUAUUAGCUAGUUGGUAAGGUAACGGCUUACCAAGGCAACGAUACGUAGCCGACCUGAGAGGGUGAUCGGCCACACUGGAACUGAGACACGGUCCAGACUCCUACGGGAGGCAGCAGUAGGGAAUCUUCCGCAAUGGGCGAAAGCCUGACGGAGCAACGCCGCGUGAGUGAUGAAGGUCUUCGGAUCGUAAAACUCUGUUAUUAGGGAAGAACAAAUGUGUAAGUAACUGUGCACGUCUUGACGGUACCUAAUCAGAAAGCCACGGCUAACUACGUG